Vulpes vulpes (red fox) is the source of this 2517-nucleotide long non-coding RNA. The record is from Ensembl. Lineage: Eukaryota; Metazoa; Chordata; Mammalia; Carnivora; Canidae.
CACCUUGGACACCUGGUCUAGACUCCGUCCAAGUGGUAGGAGAAGCCAGCUUUGGUGGGGCAUUUAGGAGGAGCCUCUGCAGACACCUGUAGGGCCUGAUUUCACUGGGUGCCCACAAACAUUUGGCACUGUUCUGCACCCCAUGGGGCUUCAAUACUCUGCCUUCCCUGGGGAGGGCCUGAAGCACCCUCCUGGGUCCUGCGUGGAGUAGGGGCAACCCCCACAUUCUGCUACUCUUUGGAGGCCUCUGGAAGCAGCCCCAAGAGGUAUUGAGUGACCUUGCUCUAGUCCACCCUGGGCUCUACCUCCAAGCCCUCAAGACUCCUUCCCACCUGUAACCACUGGGCUUGCUUCUGCAAACUACUGCUUCGUAAUGACACAGACUAUAGACGUGCUUCUGAACUGCACUGACCGCCAGCUCCGUUGGGCAGAGCUCCCUCUCGGGCCGAGGUCCUCCCAGAGCAGGUGGGUGGGACACCAGAAUUUGUCUUUCUGUGACUUAGCAUAAUGUCCUCAAGCUUCAUCCAUGUGGUAGCAUGUGACAGGACGUCCUUCCUUUUUAAGCCCUGCACGCAUAGAACACACUUGGUGCAUCCGUUCAUCUGUCGAUGGGUAUCUGGGCUGCUUCCGCCUCUUGGUUAUUGUGAAUACAGCUGUUGUGAAUAUUGGGUGCAAAUAUCUCUUUGAGGCCCUUCUUUCAAUCCUUCUGAAUGUACACCUGGAAGUGAGAUUGCUGGGUCAAAUGGUAGUUUUAUUUCUAACUUUUUGAGGCACCACCAUGCUAUACCCCACCGUGGCUCAGCACUGUACAUUUCCACCACCAGGGCACGGGGCUCCUGUUUCUCCACAUCCCCACCAACACUUAUUUCCUGCUGUUUUGGGAGCAGCCAUCCUAUGAAGUGUGAGACGGCAUCUCGUUGUGUGAUUUCCAUUUCUCUGACCAUGAGCGAUGCUGAGCAUCUUUUCAUGUACCUGUGGCCAUCAGUGUGGCAUCCUUGGACAGGAUCAGUUUCAAGCACGGGGAUGCGGCAUAAGCAUGAUGAACCCUGGCCUUCCCUGGGCAUCCACUCCACUAGGCAAAAACAAAUCGAGAGUACGACCGACCACAACAGCGCGUCAUGUGAUGACAGACGCUACAGUGAACCUCCAGGUGAAGAUAACUUACAGCCAACUUGUCUACGAGAGUUGUUUCUGAGAGUUAGAAUUUGGGAGAAAUUUCCCAUGCAUACAGAGUAGCUCUAAGUGAAAUUCCUGAAGAUGAGGACAAGGAGGCGGCACGUGGAUUGCGCUGAAUUUAACAGCAGCAAACCCAGAGCUGAGUCUUCAAGGCAUCUACACCUGCUGUUCCCUGGGGUGGGGGGUGGGGGUACGACCAGUCAGUAGACACCCAUUCUUGGAGAAGAAAAAUACAAAGAUACAAAAAUACAAAGAUCUGGCAUCUUUCUCAGAUCACCUCAGCUCCCAGGUCCGACCUUACUAGCCGGUGUUAAGGAGAGGAAACUAGCUAGGUCUUCCCACAGCUGUUCUCAAACCGCUGGUCUAGGGAUGGGAGGAGAGGCUCACAGUGGACGGAGAGACUGGGAAGGUCAUGAAUGAAGAUGCCAUAGAGACAAGACACGAGGCGACCCCAGGUUCCACAGAGGAGCUUCCAAGAAAUGUUUCUUCUAGCAUCACGGGUUCAGAACCUCCGAGGCUGAGCAGCAGAUCCAGAGAGAAGAGAGAGAAAGUUGACCUCCCUUGGUUGGCAUGUUCUUCCUUGGGGGUUUACACUCAGCGUGGCCCUGUGGCUGGGAAGCCAAAGGACUGGGGUCAAACCCAGGGUGACUUGUUUAAAAAUGGUCACUGGCUGUGUCUCAUGGACCAGGUGCCUUUGCGGGUUUAGAGACACAACAUGGGGGUGGGGGGCAACGCUUCCUUCAUGUUGGUCCCUGUCUAAAGGUGAAGUCGGUGUGCCAAGCAGAGGUUACGAAGUGGAAGGACGGCGCUCCCACCAGAAUGAUCCAGAUCCAAGGGUCAGGGGGCAGCCCAGACUAGGCCUGAUGCCCAGCUGCCCCAGAGCGAUGCAAGAGGGAGACCCUAAGGACCCUCCAGCUCCCACCAGCUCCUCAUUUUAGAAGUGAGGGAGAUACGAGGAAGAUAAGCAAGUGGCCAACAAGCACAUGGGAAGAUGAGUUCGACCUCAGGAAGAGGGAAAUGCAAAUCAAAACCACCAUGAGAUGCUGCCGCAUGCCCAUCAGGGUGACUACUGUUGUAAAACAAGCAAAAUAACAAGUGUUGGCGAGCAUGUGGAGAAAUUGGAAUCCCUGAGCGCUGUUGGUGGGGGUGCAAAAUGGCGCAAACGCUGUGGGAAAACGAUGGAGUUCUCUCUGAAAAUUAAAAAUAGAAUUAUUUUUAAAAAAAAUAGAAUUAUUGUAUGACCCAGCGAUUCUCCUUGUGGGUAGACACUCAAUUGAAAACAUGUUGGGUGCAGAGAUUACUAAAAAUAAACACAUAAAAAAUGGUUAAGAUGGUAAAAUU